RNAcentral lists this unclassified non-coding RNA (344 nucleotides) under soil metagenome. RNAcentral's name for it is "partial contains 5.8S ribosomal RNA, internal transcribed spacer 2, and large subunit ribosomal RNA". The stretch from base 1 to 120 matches the Rfam family "5.8S ribosomal RNA", at positions 35 to 154 of the family's 154-position model. The record is from RNAcentral.
GAUGAAGAACGCAGCGAAAUGCGAUACGUAAUGUGAAUUGCAGAAUUCAGUGAAUCAUCGAGUCUUUGAACGCACAUUGCGCCCCCUGGUAUUCCGGGGGGCAUGCCUGUCCGAGCGUCAUUGCUGCCCUCAAGCACGGCUUGUGUGUUGGGCCUCCGUCCUCCUCCCGGGGGACGGGCCCGAAAGGCAGCGGCGGCACCGCGUCCGGUCCUCGAGCGUAUGGGGCUUCGUCACCCGCUCUUGUAGGCCCGGCCGGCGCUUGCCGACACAUCAAUCUUUUUUCCAGGUUGACCUCGGAUCAGGUAGGGAUACCCGCUGAACUUAAGCAUAUCAAUAAGCGGGGA